Molecule: transfer RNA, 71 nt
Filed under: archaeon CG_4_8_14_3_um_filter_38_5
Lineage: Archaea
Also listed under: 3 other names
Description: tRNA-Gly
Rfam family: tRNA
About the family: Transfer RNA (tRNA) molecules are approximately 80 nucleotides in length. Their secondary structure includes four short double-helical elements and three loops (D, anti-codon, and T loops).
Source: RNAcentral
GCACCGGUGGUGUAGUGGUAGCAUUUUAGCCUUCCAAGCUGACGACUCGGGUUCAAAUCCCGACCGGUGCA